AUUGAACGCUGGCGGCAGGCCUAACACAUGCGAGUCGAGCGGAUGAAGGGAGCUUGCUCCUGGAUUCAGCGGCGGACGGGUGAGUAAUGCCUAGGAAUCUGCCUGGCAGUGGGGGAUAACGUCCGGAAACGGGCGCUAAUACCGCAUACGUCCUGAGGGAGAAAGUGGGGGAUCUUCGGACCUCACGCUAUCAGAUGAGCCUAGGUCGGAUUAGCUAGUUGGUGGGGUAAAGGCCUACCAAGGCGACGAUCCGUAACUGGUCUGAGAGGAUGAUCAGUCACACUGGAACUGAGACACGGUCCAGACUCCUACGGGAGGCAGCAGUGGGGAAUAUUGGACAAUGGGCGAAAGCCUGAUCCAGCCAUGCCGCGUGUGUGAAGAAGGUCUUCGGAUUGUAAAGCACUUUAAGUUGGGAGGAAGGGCAGUAAGUUAAUACCUUGCUGUUUUGACGUUACCAACAGAAUAAGCACCGGCUAACUUCGUG
Molecule: ribosomal RNA, 484 nt
Filed under: uncultured bacterium
Lineage: Bacteria
Description: partial 16S ribosomal RNA
Rfam family: Bacterial small subunit ribosomal RNA
Source: RNAcentral